This 245-nucleotide unclassified non-coding RNA is filed under the name uncultured fungus. RNAcentral's name for it is "sequence contains ITS2". Lineage: Eukaryota; Fungi. The record is from RNAcentral.
AACGCACAUUGCGCCCAUUAGUAUUCUAGUGGGCAUGCCUGUUCGAGCGUCAUUUUAACACUUAAGCCCUGUUGCUUAGCGUUGGGAGCAUACAGCACUGUAGCUCCUCAAAGUCAGUGGCGGGGUCUGUUCGACUCUAGGUGUAGUAAUCUACUCUCACCUCUGCGGUUGAUAGGGCCCUCGCCGUAAAGCGGCCAAAUAUACUGGUUGACCUCGGAUCAGGUAGGAAUACCCGCUGAACUUAA